CCUACGAGGAGCAGCAGUGGGGAAUAUUGGGCAAUGGGCGCAAGCCUGACCCAGCAACGCAGCGUGAAGGAAGACGGCUCUCGGGUUGUAAAACUCCUUUGUCUGGGACGUAGCAAGUGACGGUACCUGACGAUUAUGUCUAUGCUAACUACGAUCUAGCAGCCGCGGUAAUACGGAGGGGGCAGGCUGUAUCCGGAUUUACUGGGGUUAAAGGGCGUGUAGGCGGGACUGUAAGUCAGAUGUGAAAACCACGGGCUCAACCUGUGGCCUGCAGUUGAAACUGUAGUUCUUGAGUACUGGAGGGGCAGACGGAAUUCCUGGUGUAGCGGUGAAAUGCGUAGAUAUUAGGAGGAACACCAGUGGCGAAGGC
Molecule: ribosomal RNA, 370 nt
Filed under: uncultured bacterium
Lineage: Bacteria
Description: partial 16S ribosomal RNA
Rfam family: Bacterial small subunit ribosomal RNA
Source: RNAcentral